Molecule: ribosomal RNA, 475 nt
Filed under: uncultured bacterium
Lineage: Bacteria
Description: bacterial SSU rRNA
Rfam family: Bacterial small subunit ribosomal RNA
Source: RNAcentral
UCAGGACGAACGCUGGCGGCGUGCUUCAUACAUGCAAGUCGAACGAGAAGCUGACUUCGGUCAGUGGAAAGUGGCGGACGGGUGAGUAAUAUGUAGAGAAUCUGCCCUUGAGUGGGGGACAACAGAGGGAAACUUCUGCUAAUACCCCAUAUGAGCUAACUUGAAAUAGUUAUCUUGAAAACUCCGGUGCUCAAGGAUGAGUCUGCAUCUGAUUAGCUAGUUGGCGGUGUAAUGGACCACCAAGGCGACGAUCAGUAGCUGGUUUGAGAGGAUGAUCAGCCACAAUGGGACUGAGACACGGCCCAUACUCCUACGGGAGGCAGCAGUAGGGAAUUUUGCGCAAUGGGCGAAAGCCUGAACCGCAGCAACGCCGCGUGAACGAUUAAGCCCUUCGGGGUGUAAAGUUCUGUCAGUAGGGACGAAUUUUGACGGUACCUACAGAGGAAGCACCGGCUAACUCCGUGCCAGCAGCUGC